AUGAAAGAGUGAAUGAAAUAUAAAUUGUCUCAGUAUAAUUGAUUGAAUUUAAAUUAAAAGUUAAAAUGCUUUUAUAUAUUUAUAAGACGAUAAGACCCUAUAGAAUUUAAUAAAAUUUAUUUUUUAAAAUCAUUAUGUUAAGAAAAGAUCUAAUUAAUAAAUAUAUUUUAUUGGGAGGAUAUUUAAAUUAAAAUAACUUUAAAAUAAUUUAAACAUAAAUAAAUGAGUAAGUAAUUUGAUUAUUAU
This 246-nucleotide ribosomal RNA is filed under the name Vespa basalis. Its description in RNAcentral is "partial 16S rRNA". Lineage: Eukaryota; Metazoa; Arthropoda; Insecta; Hymenoptera; Vespidae. The record is from RNAcentral.